GAUAAACGCUGGCGGCGCACAUAAGACAUGCAAGUUGAACGGACUUAAUCGAAAUAUUUCUAUUUUGAAGCGGUUAGUGGCGGACUGGUGAGUAACGCGUAAGGAACCUGCCUAUUAGAGGGGAAUAACAGUGAGAAAUCAUUGCUAAUACCGCAUAUGCCAUAGAUAUCACAUGAUAACAGUGGGAAAGGAGCAAUCCGCUAAUAGAUGGCCUUGCGUCUGAUUAGAUAGUUGGUGGGGUAACGGCCUACCAAGUCGACGAUCAGUAGCCGGACUGAGAGGUUGAACGGCCACAUUGGGACUGAGAUACGGCCCAGACUCCUACGGGAGGCAGCAGUCGGGAAUAUUGCGCAAUGGAGGAAACUCUGACGCAGUGACGCCGCGUAUAGGAAGAAGGUUUUCGGAUUGUAAAAUAUUGUCGUUAGGGAAGAGAAAGGACAGUACCUAAGGAGGAAGCUCCGGCUAACUACGUG
RNAcentral lists this ribosomal RNA (473 nucleotides) under uncultured bacterium. RNAcentral's name for it is "partial 16S ribosomal RNA". It matches the Rfam family "Bacterial small subunit ribosomal RNA", at positions 28 to 507 of the family's 1533-position model. The record is from RNAcentral.